RNAcentral lists this ribosomal RNA (22 nucleotides) under Streptococcus pneumoniae. Its description in RNAcentral is "23S ribosomal RNA". Lineage: Bacteria; Bacillati; Bacillota; Bacilli; Lactobacillales; Streptococcaceae. RNAcentral also lists the same sequence under 3 other names. The record is from RNAcentral.
GGUUAAGUUAAUAAGGGCGCAC